GAUUAAGCCAUGCAUGUGUAAGUAUAAAUAAUUCUACUUUGAAACUGCGAAUGGCUCAUUAUAUCGGUUAUAGUUUAUUUGAUGAAAUGUACUACUUGGAUAACCGUAGUAAUUCUAGAGCUAAUACAUGAUCAAUUCCUCGACUUUGAAGAGGUGUAUUUAUUAGAAUGAAAACCAAUAGACUUUGUCUGUUUGUGAGUAAUAAUAACUUGUCAUAUCGCAUGCUUAGGUAGCGAUGUUUCUUUUAAGUUUCUGCCCUAUCAGCUUUCGAUGGUAGUGUAUUGGACUACCAUG
RNAcentral lists this ribosomal RNA (294 nucleotides) under Blastocystis sp. RNAcentral's name for it is "partial small subunit ribosomal RNA". It matches the Rfam family "Eukaryotic small subunit ribosomal RNA", at positions 42 to 348 of the family's 1831-position model. Lineage: Eukaryota; Bigyra; Opalinata; Blastocystidae. The record is from RNAcentral.